This 503-nucleotide ribosomal RNA is filed under the name uncultured bacterium. RNAcentral describes it as "partial 16S ribosomal RNA". It matches the Rfam family "Bacterial small subunit ribosomal RNA", at positions 30 to 523 of the family's 1533-position model. The record is from RNAcentral.
AUUGAACGCUGGCGGCAGGCUUAACACAUGCAAGUCGAGCGGGGGAAGGUAGCUUGCCACCGGACCUAGCGGCGGACGGGUGAGUAAUGCUUAGGAAUCUGCCUAUUAGUGGGGGACAACAUCUCGAAAGGGAUGCUAAUACCGCAUACGUCCUACGGGAGAAAGCAGGGGAUCACUUGUGACCUUGCGCUAAUAGAUGAGCCUAAGUCGGAUUAGCUAGUUGGUGGGGUAAAGGCCUACCAAGGCGACGAUCUGUAGCGGGUCUGAGAGGAUGAUCCGCCACACUGGGACUGAGACACGGCCCAGACUCCUACGGGAGGCAGCAGUGGGGAAUAUUGGACAAUGGGCGGAAGCCUGAUCCAGCCAUGCCGCGUGUGUGAAGAAGGCCUUUUGGUUGUAAAGCACUUUAAGCGAGGAGGAGGCUACUUGGAUUAAUACUCUAGGAUAGUGGACGUUACUCGCAGAAUAAGCACCGGCUAACUCUGUGCCAGCCGCCGCGGUAA